UACCAAUGCUGAUUGCCUUGGUGGGCUA
RNAcentral lists this small RNA (28 nucleotides) under Bombyx mori (domestic silkworm). RNAcentral describes it as "ovarian small RNA-20530". Lineage: Eukaryota; Metazoa; Arthropoda; Insecta; Lepidoptera; Bombycidae. The record is from RNAcentral.